UACGGAGGGUGCAAGCGUUAUCCGGAUUCACUGGGUUUAAAGGGUGCGUAGGUGGGUCUGUAAGUCAGUGGUGAAAUCUCCGUGCUUAACAUGGAAACUGCCAUUGAUACUAUAGAUCUUGAAUUUUCUGGAGGUUAGCGGAAUAUGUCAUGUAGCGGUGAAAUGCUUAGAUAUGACAUAGAACACCAAUUGCGAAGGCAGCUAGCUACAGGGAUAUUGACACUGAGGCACGAAAGCGUGGGGAGCAAACAGG
RNAcentral lists this ribosomal RNA (253 nucleotides) under uncultured bacterium. RNAcentral describes it as "partial 16S ribosomal RNA". It matches the Rfam family "Bacterial small subunit ribosomal RNA", at positions 524 to 776 of the family's 1533-position model. The record is from RNAcentral.